AACCUAGCACACCUGCGGUGUGUACCUGCGGAGGGAUCAUUACAGAGUUGCAAAACUCCCUAAACCAUUGUGAACGUUACCUAAACCGUUGCUUCGGCGGGCGGCCCGGGUCCUUCCCGGCGCCCAUCGGCCCUCGCGGGCGCCCGCCGGAGGUAAACCAAACUAUUGCAUUGUAUGGCCUCUCUGAGUCUUCUGUACUGAAUAAGUCAAAACUUUUAACAACGGAUCUCAGAUCGGAAG
Molecule: unclassified non-coding RNA, 240 nt
Filed under: soil metagenome
Description: partial contains 5.8S ribosomal RNA, internal transcribed spacer 2, and large subunit ribosomal RNA
Source: RNAcentral